AGUGCGGGUUCCCGGGGAGGGGGCGUGCAGGAUCGGGGUGCGGGGGGUGCGCUGUAGGGCUAAGGAGAGGAUGGGCUUUGGGGGGCCCUGAGGAGGAGGGGAGUCAGGAUUAACCGAGGAUAGGGUCGCAGCAGGGGCAUGGGGAGGACCGGCCCUAGAGCGCCGCUCCUCCCCAAAACUAGGAUUUGGAGCCUCACGUUCUCCCUCAAAACGAGCCCUGUGGGUGCCAGGCCAGGGGCGGCGCCCAGGUGUGGAGGGGGCAAGGUACGGGCGUCUGCCGUUGCUAAGUGCCCCCUUCCACUUAAGGCACACCUUCGCCUCCGAUUCCGAACAGCCCGCGGACAGAGGCAAGUGGCAAAGCGGGGAGAGCGAAGAUGGUGGGAGGGCCUGGAGAAAGAGACAGCGUGUGCAGAGGGGGUGCCCCCUCAGAUGGGGGGUCAGGAAGUCUCCCUCAAGUGUCCGGGACAGAGGGACAGCAGGGGCCAAGGCGGAGAUGAGAUCAGUGAGUGAGGGGAGGCCGGAGGAAGUAAGGCUGCAGCCUCGGCCCUGCAAGGGUUUAGACUUUCCUCUAAACGCGGCGGAAGCCCAUGGAAGGAAGCGGUUAG
RNAcentral lists this small RNA (605 nucleotides) under Pongo abelii (Sumatran orangutan). RNAcentral describes it as "processed transcript". The record is from RNAcentral. Lineage: Eukaryota; Metazoa; Chordata; Mammalia; Primates; Hominidae.